CAGUAGCCGCGGUAACACAGAGGGUGCGAGCGUUAAUCGGAUUUACUGGGCGUAAAGCGUGCGUAGGCGGCUAAUUGAGUCGGAUGUGAAAUCCCCGAGCUUAACUUGGGAAUUGCAUUCGAUACUGGUUAGCUAGAGUGUGGGAGAGGAUGGUAGAAUUCCAGGUGUAGCGGUGAAAUGCGUAGAGAUCUGGAGGAAUACCGAUGGCGAAGGCAGCCAUCUGGCCUAACACUGACGCUGAGGUACGAAAGCAUGGGGAGCAAACAGGAUUAGAUACCCCGGUAGUCCCUGUCUCUUAUAC
RNAcentral lists this ribosomal RNA (301 nucleotides) under uncultured bacterium. RNAcentral's name for it is "partial 16S ribosomal RNA". It matches the Rfam family "Bacterial small subunit ribosomal RNA", at positions 509 to 807 of the family's 1533-position model. The record is from RNAcentral.